AUCUCAGAUCUCGGAAGACUGAAAGAAGGCAAAGAACCCUUCAGUUUCAGUUCUCAGUUACCGACAUUCAGAAACCGGGAUGGGAUCUGGUGCUGGAAGUUUCCUCAAAGUUCUCCUUAAAAACUUCGAUGUUCUUGCUGGGCCUGUGGUUAGUUUGGUUUAGCCACUGUAUGCCUCAAUUCGGGUUAUAGAGACCAAAUCACCAACUGAUGAUCGCCAAUGGCUUACGUAUUGGAUUCUCUACUUUAUGAUUACACUCUUUGAGCUCACUUUUGCCAAACUUAUUGAGUGGUUCUGUUGUGUGUCUUGGACUGUUUGGCUUUGGUCAAAGGAGUUUUGUGAU
Molecule: long non-coding RNA, 343 nt
Organism: Rosa chinensis
Lineage: Eukaryota; Viridiplantae; Streptophyta; Magnoliopsida; Rosales; Rosaceae
Exons: 4
Source: RefSeq, a predicted model, not a curated record